UACAGAGGGGGCAAGCGUUGUUCGGAAUUACUGGGCGUAAAGGGCGCGUAGGCGGCACUGUUAGUCAGGCGUGAAAGUCCUGGGCUCAACCUGGGAACUGCGCUUGAUACGGCAGAGCUAGAGGAUGGAAGAGGCUCGCGGAAUUCCCAGUGUAGAGGUGAAAUUCGUAGAUAUUGGGAAGAACACCGGUGGCGAAGGCGGCGAGCUGGUCCAUUACUGACGCUGAGGCGCGACAGCGUGGGGAGCAAACAGG
This 253-nucleotide ribosomal RNA is filed under the name uncultured bacterium. RNAcentral's name for it is "partial 16S ribosomal RNA". It matches the Rfam family "Bacterial small subunit ribosomal RNA", at positions 524 to 776 of the family's 1533-position model. The record is from RNAcentral.